This 251-nucleotide unclassified non-coding RNA is filed under the name Pseudoechria longicollis. RNAcentral's name for it is "Podospora longicollis partial internal transcribed spacer region". The stretch from base 1 to 46 matches the Rfam family "Eukaryotic small subunit ribosomal RNA", at positions 1786 to 1831 of the family's 1831-position model. The record is from RNAcentral. Lineage: Eukaryota; Fungi; Ascomycota; Sordariomycetes; Sordariales; Schizotheciaceae.
AAGUCGUAACAAGGUCUCCGUUGGUGAACCAGCGGAGGGAUCAUUACCGAGUUCUUACAGAACCCAACCCUGUGUGAUAAGUUCUCACCCGAACUUUUCCACUACAGGUCUCGGUCCACGGGCAGGCAGCGCCGGCCGCGGUGGACUUCGAGGCACCUGUAGGAAACCCAAACCUCUGUAUCAUUAACACAAAUAUCUGAGCGACUUUACAUAAAGAGUCAAAACUUUCAACAACGGAUCUCUUGGUUCUG